AUUGAUGACACCGUUGACUUUUUCUCACAUGUUUGACCAUUCGUCUUAUUCCAAAAAUUUACGUAAUUGUAAUUUAUUUUGAUAUGAGUUGUUUUAUCACUCAUAGUACUUUAAGUGUGAUUUAUAUCUUAUAUAUUUGUAAAAAAAAAUUGAAUAAGACGAAUGGUCAAAUAUGUAAGAAAAAAUUAACGGCGUCAUCUAUU
RNAcentral lists this microRNA precursor (203 nucleotides) under Oryza sativa Japonica Group (Japanese rice). Its description in RNAcentral is "MIR812 microRNA precursor family". It matches the Rfam family "MIR812 microRNA precursor family". The record is from Rfam by way of RNAcentral. Lineage: Eukaryota; Viridiplantae; Streptophyta; Magnoliopsida; Poales; Poaceae.